GUGUUUUCAAAGACUAAGCUUAUGUUUGCAUUGAUCUCUAUUAUAUUUUCAUUUCUACCUCACCUAUUUCUGCUCAUCUCUGCUACGUGGCUCCUUGUGCUUGCUUUGGCUUCUUACUUUCCAUACCUCUGCCAUGAAAUUUUAAAUCACAGACUUUCAGAGCUGGAAGGAAACAGACCCGCUCUCCCGCCUCGUUUUACAAAGAAGCCCAGAGGGGAAGGGCAUGUGCCUGAAAUCCUGCAGCUGGUAAGAGAGCAUCCACAUUCUCGAUUCCGGCUUCUCCCCUUGCUCACCACCCUCCUCCACUCGUCACUCUCUCUCCUGCCCUGUUCCUCCUUCCCCUGACCCACAAGACAGCAAGAUUGUCAGGCUGACACAAUUCAGAAGAAAUAGGCAAACAUCUCCCUCAAAAGACACAUAAGAACUUAGGAGGAGGGGGGCAAGAAUCCGACUGCAGCUGCUCAGGUGGCUGCAGAAGCCCAGGUUCAAUCCUGGCCCCGUGCAGUGGGUUAAGGAUCUGGUGUUGCUGCAGCUGGGGCUUGGAUACAAUCACUGGUCCAGGAACUCAAUAUGCCGUGGGGAGCAGAGGGAGAUGUCACAGGUAAUCAAAUACAGGACAAUUUUAUAAAACAAAACUCAGGCUGCCUUCUAGAAGGUUGUGGUUGGAUCUAUUAAAAAUUCUGAUAUUCACAGCAGUUAUUUGGCAAGAAGCAAAAAUAGAUGGUAUCGUAAUGAACUGGGUAUCGGUGUCAGAAUGCAAAGGUCGCCUUACAUUUUAGGUUAAACAGAUGAGCACGCCCAGCCGUAAAAUGUACUGAAUUGUGUGUAAAAAGCACUGGCCCUGAGAGGGUGAAAGAGGAGCUGAGGUCUGACUUCUGGGCUCCCGUCCUGCCCUGUCUGGCCACCCCUGGGAUGUCAGGACUCUAGUGGCCUUGAGAUCCAGGGCUCUUCCUUUUCUAAAGACUGUGGCUAAGGAAGACUCUGAUGUUGGUCACAUCUAGUAAGCAGACAUUGCUCAGGCGCCCUCUCCAGGGCAUUUCUACUCAAAGUUUUCCUUCAGCGGGAGCUCAAAGGCUUUCUUUCGUGUCUUAAGAAAUUUGAAGCAGAGUUGAUAAGGUCGGUAGGUAUGGGCAGGGGCUCCCCGGGUGCCCGGAAAUCAUUCCAUCCGCACUAAGACCUGAACAUUUCGGCACAAACUUACCAUGUCCUUCAAAAAAAAGUCUAGUCCCUAAGAGUGUGUGCACAUGUGCGCACGCGCGCACACACACACACACACACUGGUCCAGUGUCUGAGAUACUGAUGCAGUGUGAUGCGCUGAGAGAGGUCAAGAGAACAGUAUUUCCAAGAUGUAUCCAACCACAAGACAUUUUCUUCAAGUAGCAUCCACAGGUCUGGGUUAAAUAACGCCACCCCCCGAAGAAAAGAAAGACGCCUUUACCUGGAACCUCAGAAUGUGACUUAGCUUGGAAUGAAGGAAAUUAAGAAUCUUGAGAUGAGACGAUCCCGGAUCGCUUAGGGUGGCCCUAAAUC
This 1531-nucleotide long non-coding RNA is filed under the name Sus scrofa (pig). Its description in RNAcentral is "lncRNA (ENSSSCG00065078501.1)". The record is from RNAcentral. Lineage: Eukaryota; Metazoa; Chordata; Mammalia; Artiodactyla; Suidae.